RNAcentral lists this small RNA (950 nucleotides) under Penicillium chrysogenum. RNAcentral describes it as "eukaryotic LSU rRNA". The stretch from base 450 to 950 matches the Rfam family "Eukaryotic large subunit ribosomal RNA", at positions 1 to 506 of the family's 3401-position model. Lineage: Eukaryota; Fungi; Ascomycota; Eurotiomycetes; Eurotiales; Aspergillaceae. The record is from RNAcentral.
UUGUUGCUUCGGCGGGCCCGCCUUAACUGGCCGCCGGGGGGCUUACGCCCCCGGGCCCGCGCCCGCCGAAGACACCCUCGAACUCUGUCUGAAGAUUGUAGUCUGAGUGAAAAUAUAAAUUAUUUAAAACUUUCAACAACGGAUCUCUUGGUUCCGGCAUCGAUGAAGAACGCAGCGAAAUGCGAUACGUAAUGUGAAUUGCAAAUUCAGUGAAUCAUCGAGUCUUUGAACGCACAUUGCGCCCCCUGGUAUUCCGGGGGGCAUGCCUGUCCGAGCGUCAUUGCUGCCCUCAAGCACGGCUUGUGUGUUGGGCCCCGUCCUCCGAUCCCGGGGGACGGGCCCGAAAGGCAGCGGCGGCACCGCGUCCGGUCCUCGAGCGUAUGGGGCUUUGUCACCCGCUCUGUAGGCCCGGCCGGCGCUUGCCGAUCAACCCAAAUUUUUAUCCAGGUUGACCUCGGAUCAGGUAGGGAUACCCGCUGAACUUAAGCAUAUCAAUAAGCGGAGGAAAAGAAACCAACAGGGAUUGCCCCAGUAACGGCGAGUGAAGCGGCAAGAGCUCAAAUUUGAAAGCUGGCUCCUUCGGGGUCCGCAUUGUAAUUUGUAGAGGAUGCUUCGGGAGCGGUCCCCAUCUAAGUGCCCUGGAACGGGACGUCAUAGAGGGUGAGAAUCCCGUAUGGGAUGGGGUGUCCGCGCCCGUGUGAAGCUCCUUCGACGAGUCGAGUUGUUUGGGAAUGCAGCUCUAAAUGGGUGGUAAAUUUCAUCUAAAGCUAAAUAUUGGCCGGAGACCGAUAGCGCACAAGUAGAGUGAUCGAAAGAUGAAAAGCACUUUGAAAAGAGAGUUAAAAAGCACGUGAAAUUGUUGAAAGGGAAGCGCUUGCGACCAGAUUCGCUCGCGGGGUUCAGCCGGCAUUCGUGCCGGUGUACUUCCCCGCGGGCGGGCCAGCGUCGGU